Molecule: transfer RNA, 71 nt
Filed under: Aerococcus suis
Lineage: Bacteria; Bacillati; Bacillota; Bacilli; Lactobacillales; Aerococcaceae
Rfam family: tRNA
About the family: Transfer RNA (tRNA) molecules are approximately 80 nucleotides in length. Their secondary structure includes four short double-helical elements and three loops (D, anti-codon, and T loops).
Source: Rfam by way of RNAcentral
AGGGACAUAGUUUAACGGCAGAACUACGGUCUCCAAAACCGUCGAUGUGGGUUCGAUUCCUACUGUCCCUG